Molecule: unclassified non-coding RNA, 277 nt
Filed under: uncultured fungus
Lineage: Eukaryota; Fungi
Description: partial contains small subunit ribosomal RNA, internal transcribed spacer 1, and 5.8S ribosomal RNA
Rfam family: Eukaryotic small subunit ribosomal RNA (bases 1-73)
Source: RNAcentral
UCAAACUUGGUCAUUUAGAGGAAGUAAAAGUCGUAACAAGGUCUCCGUUGGUGAACCAGCGGAGGGAUCAUUACAGGAAUCGCAAGGCUCCCGUAACCACCGUGAACCUCUAUCCUUCGUUGCCUCGGCGGGCGCCUGACGCAAGUCGGGCGCUCACGCCCGCCGGCGGCCCCCCCGAACUCUCUGUCUCGCGCGUUGGCAUCUCCGAGCAUGACACAAACGAAUCAAAACUUUCAGCAACGGAUCUCUUGGCUCUGGCAUCGAUGAAGAACGCAGC